RNAcentral lists this microRNA precursor (132 nucleotides) under Hordeum vulgare. RNAcentral describes it as "microRNA MIR1122". It matches the Rfam family "MIR1120/MIR1122 microRNA precursor family". Lineage: Eukaryota; Viridiplantae; Streptophyta; Magnoliopsida; Poales; Poaceae. The record is from RNAcentral.
AUAGUACUCCGUCCCAAAAUUCUUGUCUUAGAAUUGUCUAGAUAUGAAUGUAUCUAGUCACGUUUUUAUAUUUUGAUAUAUCUAUUUUUAGACAAAUUUAAGACAAGAAUUUUAAGACGAAGGGAGUAUAUA